GAAGUCUGAUGGAGCACGCCGCGUGAGUGAAGAAGGGUUUCGGCUCGUAAAACUCUGUUGUUAGAGAAGAACAGCCGUGAGAGCAACUGCUCACGGUAUGACGGUAUCUAACCAGAAAGUCACGGCUAACUACGUGCCAGCAGCCGCGGUAAUACGUAGGUGGCAAACGUUGUCCGGAUUUAUUGGGCGUAAAGGGAGCGCAGGCGGUUUAUUAAGUCUGAUGUGAAAGCCUUCGGCUUAACCGGAGAAGUGCAUCGGAAACUGAUAAACUUGAGUGCAGAAAAGGAUAGUGGAACUUCAUGUGUAGCGGUGAAAUGCGUAGAUAUAUGAAGGAACACCAGUGGCGAAGGCGGCUAUCUGGUCUGUAACUGACGCUGAGGCUCGAAAGCAUGGGUAGCAAACAGGAUUAGAUACCCUGGUAGUCCAUGCCGUAAACGAUGAAUGCUAGGUGUUGGAAGGUUUCCGCCUUUCAGUGCCGCAGCUAACGCAUUAAGCAUUCCGCCUGGGGAGUACGACCGCAAGGUUGAAACUCAAAGGAAUUGACGGGGACCCGCACAAGCGGUGGAGCAUGUGGUUUAAUUCGAUGCUACGCGAAGAACCUUACCAGGACUUGACAUCUUCUGCCAAUCUAAGAGAUUAGACGUUCCCUUCGGGGACAGAAUGACAGGUGGUGCAUGGUUGUCGUCAGCUCGUGUCGUGAGAUGUUGGGUUAAGUCCCGCAACGAGCGCAACCCUUGUCUUUAGUUGCCAGCAUUAAGUUGGGCACUCUAGAGAGACUGCCGGUGAUAAACCGGAGGAAGGUGGGGAUGACGUCAAAUCAUCAUGCCCCUUAUGUCCUGGGCUACACACGUGCUACAAUGGGCGAUACAACGAGUUGCGAAACCGCGAGGUCAAGCUAAUCUCUUAAAGUCGUUCUCAGUUCGGAUUGCAGUCUGCAACUCGACUGCAUGAAGUUGGAU
RNAcentral lists this ribosomal RNA (959 nucleotides) under Fructilactobacillus sanfranciscensis. RNAcentral's name for it is "bacterial SSU rRNA". It matches the Rfam family "Bacterial small subunit ribosomal RNA", at positions 378 to 1331 of the family's 1533-position model. Lineage: Bacteria; Bacillati; Bacillota; Bacilli; Lactobacillales; Lactobacillaceae. The record is from RNAcentral.